GACCAUCCAUUUGUCAUCACUUUAGCAUCAUAUCAUCACUGUUUUAUACCAUUUCUGAUCAUUUGACAUCACUUUGCAUGUUUAGGAUAGUUUUGCAUGCAUGUUGCAUAUUUGUGUUGUUUUCAGGUGAUUCGGAGCUGGUGACGAGCUAAUUGGAAGAAGUGGACCUGAUCAUGUCAAACCACUCGACCCCCAGGUCGAGUAGACGCUUCAGGACCUCAACAGACCACUCGACCCCCUU
This 241-nucleotide small RNA is filed under the name Arabidopsis thaliana (thale cress). RNAcentral's name for it is "ATSL265550". Lineage: Eukaryota; Viridiplantae; Streptophyta; Magnoliopsida; Brassicales; Brassicaceae. The record is from RNAcentral.